CCACUUUUCCGGGCGGAGACAGGACCUAGUAAACUGUAAUAAUUCAAUCUAUACACCAAUCCAAACCAAAAGAAUCAUCAAGUAGUCCUUUUUUUUCUUCUGUAUAAAAAUGACCCAAAGAAUAAAAGUUGGCAACAACAACACUUGUGUGGACGGUCGCUAUGAAGAAUGGUUGCAACAGGCAAGGACAAAGUUGUCCAUGAAAUGGUUGAGCUCAGCUGUAUAAAGCUGUGGGUUACUCCUGAAAUGGUCUACAUGAGGUGAAGAUAUGAAGUUGCAGGCACGGACCUCGUGUCCUGCUUUCCUCUGUUCUACAAUGAAUGACUCAACUUGCCCCGCGGGUAUAACUCUAUCCGCAGAGCUGUAAAUGUACAACUGUGGACAUCUUGGUUGUGAUGAUGAUAAAGUCUCUAGAACAUUAGCUAGUCUCCUGUAACAGCACGAGUUUGUUUGGUUAGUGUGAAACAUUGCAUUUGCGUGAUGAAAGGCGCCUUUUUGUGUGUGAGAGAGCUCGUUUGUCGUCACAUGUUCAGUCGUCCUCCGCUGAAGUAGAGAGGUGCCGUCGUCACACAUUCAAACGCAACUUUCUUGUCUUAUUCUUCCCCUUCCUCCUCCACAUCUCCUUUUCACUGACACAGAACAAGCAAUUAUGAAAUAGUUUUCAGACCAAAACUUCGUGUCUUAUGGUACCAAAAAGAUGUCGUCAUCAACUCAUCUUCUACAAAUCAAAAUCAAAGGAAAACAUUGAGGAUUAAAGACAAACCUGGUGCUAACUUGACGUUUCUAUGUCGUAGUGAGCGCAAGGGAUCGAGCUCAGAGAUAGAUUGGGAGGUAGAGUUGGUUUGGUCAAAGAAACAAGCUCUUAAAAAUUACCGAGAGAAAGACCUAUGAAUUUCUGAGGUUUGUGAUAUUAUUAUUGAGAAAGUAAAAAAAACACAGAGAAAAACAAAAUUUUCCAGAGAAAUGUUGAGUUAGGAAGAAGGAGAGAGUUUGAAAUUAGAAUUAGGGGAUUUGGAAAAGUAAAAGUAGAUUUGAGAUUUGAAAUCAUAAUUGGAGAGAGAUAUGGAAUUAGGGUUGAGAAUUUGUGAAAGAGAAAGUGGAUCUGCGUUUUGAAGGAGAGAGGAGAGAGGAGAGAGGAGAGAUGAGAGAGUAGAGAUGAAAGAAUAUAAUCAUGGUUAGUUGUCUCUGGUUAGGUUAGUCUGGUCUGGUCAAAAUUGGGGGUAUGAAAGACAUUCGACAGGCAUAAUGUGUCUAGCCAGUGAAAAGUGUCUAAAGGUGUAGACAUAAGACGAAAAGUGUUUAUAGAGUAAAAAAAUCUUAUUGUAUUUGCUUAAAUUUAUGCUUACUAAUUUAUUCUUAACCAAUUUCAGGUCAUUUCUUUCUGAUGAACCUCAGCACAACUUCUGAUCUACAAAAAACUUAAUCUGUUUCUUACAUUAUUUAUUAUGUUUACUUAGCUACUCUUUUAGCUUUAAAACAAUUGCGUAAACUCGAUAUUCACCAAUUUUCAAACAUUUUGGAAAAAAAAUUCUUCCAUUCCAACCAAAAAAACAUCGAAACAUAUAAUAAAAAAUUGACUAUAAACCCACUUUUCCGGGCGGAGACAGGACCUAGUAAACUGUAAUAAUUCAAUCUAUACACCAAUCCAAACCAAAAGAAUCAUCAAGUAGUCCUUUUUUUUCUUCUGUAUAAAAAUGACCCAAAGAAUAAAAGUUGGCAACAACAACACUUGUGUGGACGGUCGCUAUGAAGAAUGGUUGCAACAGGCAAGGACAAAGUUGUCCAUGAAAUGGUUGAGCUCAGCUGUAUAAAGCUGUGGGUUACUCCUGAAAUGGUCUACAUGAGGUGAAGAUAUGAAGUUGCAGGCACGGACCUCGUGUCCUGCUUUCCUCUGUUCUACAAUGAAUGACUCAACUUGCCCCGCGGGUAUAACUCUAUCCGCAGAGCUGUAAAUGUACAACUGUGGACAUCUUGGUUGUGAUGAUGAUAAAGUCUCUAGAACAUUAG
This 2007-nucleotide long non-coding RNA is filed under the name Brassica napus (rape). RNAcentral's name for it is "long non-coding RNA (BNAP_LNC017796)". Lineage: Eukaryota; Viridiplantae; Streptophyta; Magnoliopsida; Brassicales; Brassicaceae. The record is from RNAcentral.